GGGCGGCGGAGCGGCGGGAUGCGGCAGUGCCGGGCCGCGGGGCUGGCGGGGCUGGCCACGGUGCGCAGGGCUGGCUGGGUGCUGGCCUGAGUGCGCAGGGCUGCCGCCGGAGGGGCCAGACUGCGGUGGCUGAUGGGACCGGAACCGCGAACGCCUCUGUUUUUUUGGCUUCUUUCCCAGCUCAUGCACCUCUCUGCUCCUUUAUGAAAUUUCUGUGGGAGAGAAUGGAUAUUCUCAGUUUGCUUCUUGUUUUCUUCUCGGCAGUGGCUGUGAGCAGAGCCCAGGUGCAGCAGGAGACGGCGGCAGAGACCAGCGAGGGCAUCGGCAUCAACAUCACCUGCUCACACCCCAACUUACGAUCCGAGGAGAGCAUCCACUGGUACCGUCAGCUCCCGGGCCGAGGACCCACAUUCAUCGCGAGCGCCGUUAAAGGCUCCAAGGAGGUUCCGGACCUCGAGGGGCGGCUGUGGGUGUCGGCAGACCGCCGCUCCAGUGCCAUCUGGGUCGCGCGGCCCCGGCUCGGGGACGCGGCGGUGUAUUACUGCGCCGUGGGCGCACAGGAAUCGAAGCCGGGGCUGCGGCCGGGCACGAACCACUUAGGGCGGGGCGGGAGCGCAGUGCCGUCCGGGCCCGCAGGGGGCGCUGCCUGCAUGGCCGCCAAACUCCAUCCUGACCAGGGUGCACCUUCCUGA
Molecule: non-coding RNA, 692 nt
Organism: Meleagris gallopavo (turkey)
Lineage: Eukaryota; Metazoa; Chordata; Aves; Galliformes; Phasianidae
Source: the annotation of a RefSeq genome assembly